Molecule: ribosomal RNA, 1455 nt
Filed under: uncultured bacterium
Lineage: Bacteria
Description: bacterial SSU rRNA
Rfam family: Bacterial small subunit ribosomal RNA
Source: RNAcentral
AGGGUUUGAUCCUGGCUCAGGAUGAACGCGAGUCGGCGUGCCUAACACAUGCAAGUCGUAUGGGGCUUCGGCUCCAUGGCGAACGGGUGAGUAACACGUGGGCACCUGCCCCCAGAUGGGGUAUAGUGGAGGGAAACCUCCGGUAAUCCCCCAUAGGCGCAUCAAGUGCCUUGGAAAAGCUCUAAAAGUUGUCUGGGGAUGGGCCUGCGGCUGAUUAGCUAGUUGGUGAGGGUAAUGGCCUACCAAGGCGAGGAUCAGUAGCUGGCCUGAGAGGGCGGCCGGCCACAUUGGGACUGAGACACGGCCCAGACUCCUACGGGAGGCAGCAGUGGGGAAUCUUCUGCAAUGGGCGCAAGCCUGACAGAGCGACGCCGCGUGAAGGAAGAAGGCCCGUUGGGUCGUAAACUUCUUUGCACGGGCACAGGAAGACUGACCGCCCGGGAAGCAAGCAUCGGCUAACUCCGUGCCAGCAGCCGCGGUAACACGGGGGAUGCGAGCGUUAUCCGGAUUUACUGGGCGUAAAGCGUCUGUAGGUGGUUCGGUGUGUCUGUUGUCGAAACGCAGAGCUUAGCUCUGUGGGGCAUUUGGAUACUAUCGAACUGGAGGGCGGUAGAGGUGGGGGGAAUCCCUCGAGGAGCAGUGAAAUGCUUAGAUACGUGGGAGAAGGCCGGAGGCGAAAGCUCCCCACUGGGCCGUACCUGACACUGAGAGACGAAAGCUAGGGGAGCAAAUGGGAUUAGAGACCCCAGUAGUCCUAGCCGUAAACUAUGGGCACUCGAUGCUGCGCGCCAUUCGCGCAGUACCCCAGCUAACGCGAUAAGUGCCCCGCCUGAGGAGUACGCUUGCAAGGGUGAAACUCAAAGGAAUUGACGGGGGCUCGCACAAGCGGUGGAGCAUGUGGUUUAAUUCGAUGCAACGCGAAGAACCUUACCUGGGCUUGACAUGGUGCCCGCGCGCCCCUAAUGGGGUUCCGCAACACAGGCACACACAGGUGGUGCACGGCUGUCGUCAGCUCGUGUCGUGAGGUGUUGGGUUAAGUCCCGCAACGAGCGCAACCCCCAUCUGGAGCUGAUAGGCUACAGAGACUGCCAAAUACCGAACUCUGGUUCGAAAAUGGAGGAAGGUGGGGAUGACGUCAAGUCAUCAUGCCCCUUAUGCCCUGGGCUACACACGUGCUACAAUGGUCGGGUCAAUGGUUGGCAGGCUACACAUAACCUGUGCCUCUCCGCGAGGGGAGGUUUCCCUAAACCCGGCCCCACUUCGGAUCGUGGGCUGCAACUCGCCCACGUGAAGCCGGAAUCGCUAGUAAUCGCCGGUCAGCAACACGGCGGUGAAUUCGUUCCCGAGCCUUGUACACACCGCCCGUCACGCCACGGGAGCCGGUCUUCCCUGAAGCUUUCGUUGAAAAGGUUAAGGAAGGACUGGUAACUGGGGUGAAGUCGUAACAAGGUAGCC